This 318-nucleotide long non-coding RNA is filed under the name Solanum tuberosum (potato). Its description in RNAcentral is "long non-coding RNA (STUB_LNC007566)". Lineage: Eukaryota; Viridiplantae; Streptophyta; Magnoliopsida; Solanales; Solanaceae. The record is from RNAcentral.
UGGGAACCCAUACUGAUAGAUGAUAGAAAUCUCUGGUCUCUCUUCUUAAUAACCUGUGAUAGGAGGACGUCACCAAAAUACUCCACGCAGCCCCUUUCAUUCCUUAAUCUUGAUACAAUAAUGUAAUGUGUUUUUAUUUGGACCAUGCUAACAUGAGUGUUGCUGGUGUCUCGACUAACAUGAUGAGAUCACCUGGUUCAUUAUAGUCUAAAAUUUCUGAAAUGUCAUUACUCUCCUGAUCAGUUUGUCUUCUCAUGUAUUUCCUUUCCGUUUUACAAUGACCCUUCGUAGAUAGUUUAGAUCUGCAUUGGUUUAACC